This 918-nucleotide ribosomal RNA is filed under the name Pseudomonas aeruginosa. RNAcentral's name for it is "bacterial SSU rRNA". It matches the Rfam family "Bacterial small subunit ribosomal RNA", at positions 514 to 1427 of the family's 1533-position model. Lineage: Bacteria; Pseudomonadati; Pseudomonadota; Gammaproteobacteria; Pseudomonadales; Pseudomonadaceae. The record is from RNAcentral.
GCAGGGGUAAUAAGGUGGGUGGAAGUGUUAAUGAGGAAAUACUGGGGGUAAAGCGCAUGGAGGGGGUUGAGUGAGUUAGAUGUGAGAUUCACGGGGGUUGACCGUGGGAAUUGCGUCGGAUGACUGGUCAGCUAGAGUCUUGUAGAGGGGGGUAGAAGUGCAUGUGUAGCGGUGAGAUGUGGAGAGAUGUGGAGGAAUACCGGUGGUGAAGGCGGGUCUGUGGACAAAGAUUGAGGAUCAGGUGCGAAAGCGUGGUGAGCAAACAGGAUUAGAUACCCUGGUAGUCCACGCUGUAAAAGAGGUUGACUUGGAGGUUGUGCGAAUGAGGCGUGGCUUCAGGAGAUAAUGCGUGAAGUGGAUCGGAUGGGGAGUACGGGUGCAAGGUUAAGAUUCAAAUGAAUUGACGGGGGACCGCACGAGCGGUGGAGCAUGUGGGUUAAUUCGAUGCAAGGUGAAGAACUUUGCAUACUCGUGACAUCCAGAGAGGUUUGCAGAGAUGGUUUGGUGGUUUGGGGAAUUAUGAGACAGGGGCUGCAUGGCUGUCGUCAGCUUGUGGUGUGAAAUGUUGGGUUAAGUCGAGGAACGAGCGCAACCCUUAUGCUUGGUUGCCAGAGCGUGAUGGCGGGAAUUCAAAGGAGACUGCCGGUGAUAAACGGGAGGAAGGUGGGGAUGACGUCAAGUCAUCAUGGCCGUUACGAGUAGGGCUACACACGUGAUACAAUGGUGUAUACAAAGGGAAGUGACCCCGCGAGGGCAAGCGGAACUGAUAAAGUAAGUGGUAGUGCGGAGUGGAGUCUGCAACUUGAUUCGAUGAAGUUGGAAUGGCUAGUAAUCGGAGAUCAGAAUGUUACGGUGAAUAUGUUGCCGGGCCUUGUACACACCGCCCGUCACAGCAUGGGAGUGGGUUGCAAAAGAAGU